Long non-coding RNA from Neopelma chrysocephalum (saffron-crested tyrant-manakin), 586 nucleotides. RefSeq lists it as uncharacterized. Lineage: Eukaryota; Metazoa; Chordata; Aves; Passeriformes; Pipridae. The record is from RefSeq and is a predicted model, not a curated record. The transcript is spliced from 3 exons.
GGUGGUACGGUAGGACCUCACCAUCCAGAGCCUAUCCCAGGUCUCCAGUUAGGAAUUCUAAGCAGCCAGGGGAAACGGGUAGUCCUGGGUAUCAGGCACCUCCUUGGAGAUGGGAGCCAACCAAGGACAGGCUGGGAUGUCAGCCCAUGGGUGGGGUCAGGAUCAGGCCUGGAGAGGGGAAGCUGCAUCAGACACAGCCCUGCUGUGUGCAAGUACAAACUAUUAAGGAUAUAGCCAUGCUUACAGAGUUGAAACACAAGCUGAUCCCUCCUGCUUUCCUUCCUAGAGUUCAGCGUGUUGUUGGAAAAUGAAGAGCAGAGAAUUCAAAUGUUGCCAGAACAUCCUGGGCAAAGCAGUCAGUGAGACCUUGAUUGCCCUUGUAUAAGAGGAAGCUCCUGCAUGUGUUUAACUGAAGUGUUCCUUUGAUUUCCGAGGCAGCUCUCAAACCACCUUGGCUGAAGUACGCAAGCUGUUGUUCGAAGGCCCCACAGCAAUGCUGAGUGAGUGGUUAAGAGAGGGCAUCACAUUUUACUCCAGCCAUCUCCUCCAACUGAUCUUAUUUUGCACAUAUCUACUUCAUAAAUAA